UACGAAGGGUGCAAGCGUUACUCGGAAUUACUGGGCGUAAAGCGUGCGUAGGUGGUGAGUUAAGUCUGUCGUGAAAGCCCGGCUCAACCUGGAUGGCGAUGGAUACUGGCUCGCUAGAGUGCGGUAGAGGAGAGUGGAAUUCCCGGUGUAGCAGUGAAAUGCGUAGAGAUCGGAGGAACAUCAGUUGCGAAGGCGGCUCUCUGACCAGCACUGACACUGAGGCACGAAGCGUGGGAGCAACAGG
RNAcentral lists this ribosomal RNA (244 nucleotides) under uncultured bacterium. Its description in RNAcentral is "partial 16S ribosomal RNA". It matches the Rfam family "Bacterial small subunit ribosomal RNA", at positions 524 to 776 of the family's 1533-position model. The record is from RNAcentral.